CUCCGUUCAAGCCAUAUGGCUUCGAUCAUUUUUUAGUAACAUGUUCUUCAUAUAGUAACAUAUAUGAUUCGGGCUCCGGCCUGAAAAACCUAUGUUCAGCAAUUUUUUGCAUGGGCAUGCCAACAUGCCAGAUCCCUGCUUGCAUAUCUGGUGUUGGCGCGGGUGACCCUGGUAUUGCACUACCUCCAGGCGACGCCCACCCUCU
This 205-nucleotide small nuclear RNA is filed under the name Linderina pennispora. RNAcentral's name for it is "U2 spliceosomal RNA". It matches the Rfam family "U2 spliceosomal RNA". From Rfam's summary of the family: U2 is a small nuclear RNA (snRNA) component of the spliceosome (involved in pre-mRNA splicing). Complementary binding between U2 snRNA (in an area lying towards the 5' end but 3' to hairpin I) and the branchpoint sequence (BPS) of the intron results the bulging out of an unpaired adenosine, on the BPS, which initiates a nucleophilic attack at the intronic 5' splice site, thus starting the first of two transesterification reactions that mediate splicing. The record is from Rfam by way of RNAcentral. Lineage: Eukaryota; Fungi; Kickxellomycota; Kickxellomycetes; Kickxellales; Kickxellaceae.